ACAGUCACGGAAGCCCAGAAUGGUUUGGGUUGGAAGGGACCUUAAAAAUCAUCUUGUUCCACCCCCUGCCAUGGGCAGGGAAACCUUCCGCUAUCCCAGAUUGGUCCAAGCCCCAUCCAACCUGGCCUUGGACACUGCCAGGGAUGAG
This is a long non-coding RNA of Corvus hawaiiensis (hawaiian crow), 148 nucleotides long. RefSeq lists it as uncharacterized. The record is from RefSeq and is a predicted model, not a curated record. NCBI's taxonomy places the organism in Eukaryota, Metazoa, Chordata, Aves, Passeriformes, Corvidae. The transcript has 3 exons.